AGCGGGUGAAAAGCCCGCUCGCCGGAAGACCAAGGGUUCCUGUCCAACGUUAAUCGGGGCAGGGUGAGUCGACCCCUAAGGCGAGGCCGAAAGGCGUAGUCGAUGGGAAACGGGUUAAUAUUCCCGUACUUGGUGUUACUGCGAAGGGGGGACGGAGAAGGCUAUGUUGGCCGGGCGACGGUUGUCCCGGUUUAAGCGUGUAGGUGUGUGUUCCAGGUAAAUCCGGUUCACUUUAACACUGAGGCGUGACGACGAGGCACUACGGUGCUGAAGCAACAAAUGCCCUGCUUCCAGGAAAAGCCUCUAAGCAUCAGGUAACAUCAAAUCGUACCCCAAACCGACACAGGUGGUCAGGUAGAGAAUACCAAGGCGCUUGAGAGAACUCGGGUGAAGGAACUAGGCAAAAUGGUGCCGUAACUUCGGGAGAAGGCACGCUGACAUGUAGGUGAAGUGAUUUACUCACGGAGCUGAAGUCAGUCGAAGAUACCAGCUGGCUGCAACUGUUUAUUAAAAACACAGCACUGUGCAAACACGAAAGUGGACGUAUACGGUGUGACGCCUGCCCGGUGCCGGAAGGUUAAUUGAUGGGGUCAGCGCAAGCGAAGCUCCUGAUCGAAGCCCCGGUAAACGGCGGCCGUAACUAUAACGGUCCUAAGGUAGCGAAAUUCCUUGUCGGGUAAGUUCCGACCUGCACGAAUGGCGUAAUGAUGGCCAGGCUGUCUCCACCCGAGACUCAGUGAAAUUGAACUCGCUGUGAAGAUGCAGUGUACCCGCGGCAAGACGGAAAGACCCCGUGAACCUUUACUAUAGCUUGACACUGAACAUUGAGCCUUGAUGUGUAGGAUAGGUGGGAGGCUUUGAAGUGUGGACGCCAGUCUGCAUGGAGCCGACCUUGAAAUACCACCCUUUAAUGUUUGAUGUUCUAACGUGGACCCGUAAUCCGGGUUGCGGACAGUGUCUGGUGGGUAGUUUGACUGGGGCGGUCUCCUCCUAAAGAGUAACGGAGGAGCACGAAGGUUGGCUAAUCCUGGUCGGACAUCAGGAGGUUAGUGCAAUGGCAUAAGCCAGCUUGACUGCGAGCGUGACGGCGCGAGCAGGUGCGAAAGCAGGUCAUAGUGAUCCGGUGGUUCUGAAUGGAAGGGCCAUCGCUCAACGGAUAAAAGGUACUCCGGGGAUAACAGGCUGAUACCGCCCAAGAGUUCAUAUCGACGGCGGUGUUUGGCACCUCGAUGUCGGCUCAUCACAUCCUGGGGCUGAAGUAGGUCCCAAGGGUAUGGCUGUUCGCCAUUUAAAGUGGUACGCGAGCUGGGUUUAGAACGUCGUGAGACAGUUCGGUCCCUAUCUGCCGUGGGCGCUGGAGAACUGAGGGGGGCUGCUCCUAGUACGAGAGGACCGGAGUGGACGCAUCACUGGUGUUCGGGUUGUCAUGCCAAUGGCACUGCCCGGUAGCUAAAUGCGGAAGAGAUAAGUGCUGAAAGCAUCUAAGCACGAAACUUGCCCCGAGAUGAGUUCUCCCUGAGACUUUAGGUCUCCUGAAGGAACGUUGAAGACGACGACGUUGAUAGGCCGGGUGUGUAAGCGCAGCGAUGCGUUGAGCUAACCGGUACUAAUGAACCGUGAGGCUUAACCUUACAACGCCGAAG
RNAcentral lists this ribosomal RNA (1643 nucleotides) under Salmonella enterica subsp. enterica serovar Oranienburg. Its description in RNAcentral is "bacterial LSU rRNA". It matches the Rfam family "Bacterial large subunit ribosomal RNA", at positions 1316 to 2925 of the family's 2925-position model. The record is from RNAcentral. Lineage: Bacteria; Pseudomonadati; Pseudomonadota; Gammaproteobacteria; Enterobacterales; Enterobacteriaceae.